RNAcentral lists this ribosomal RNA (508 nucleotides) under uncultured fungus. RNAcentral describes it as "SSU rRNA". It matches the Rfam family "Eukaryotic small subunit ribosomal RNA", at positions 569 to 1078 of the family's 1831-position model. Lineage: Eukaryota; Fungi. The record is from RNAcentral.
AGCAGCCGCGGUAAUUCCAGCUCCAAUAGCGUAUAUUAAAGUUGUUGCAGUUAAAAAGCUCGUAGUUGAAUUUCGGGAUCAAUUUAUCGGUCGUGCCUAUGGUAUGAACUGGUACAAUUGGUUUCUCCCUUCUGACGAAGCAUGAUGUCAUUAAUUUGGUGUCGUGGGGAAUCAGGACUGUUACUUUGAAAAAAUUAGAGUGUUUAAAGCAAGCAUUAGCUUGAAUACAUUAGCAUGGAAUAAUGAAAUAGGACGUUUGAUCCUAUUUCGUUGGUUUCUAGGAACGACGUAAUGAUUAAUAGGGAUAGUUGGGGGCAUUAGUAUUCAAUUGUCAGAGGUGAAAUUCUUGGAUUUAUUGAAGACUAACUACUGCGAAAGCAUUUGCCAAGGAUGUUUUCAUUAAUCAAGAACGAAAGUUAGGGGAUCGAAGACGAUCAGAUACCGUCGUAGUCUUAACCAUAAACUAUGCCGACUAGGGAUCGGAUGAUGUUAAUUUUUUAAUGACUCA